UUGAGUUUGAUCCUGGCUCAGGACGAACGCUGGCGGCGUGCUUAACACAUGCAAGUCGAACGAUGAACCGCUUUCGGGCGGGGAUUAGUGGCGAACGGGUGAGUAACACGUGGGCAAUCUGCCCUGCACUCUGGGACAAGCCCUGGAAACGGGGUCUAAUACCGGAUAUGACUGUCCAUCGCAUGGUGGAUGGUGUAAAGCUCCGGCGGUGCAGGAUGAGCCCGCGGCCUAUCAGCUUGUUGGUGAGGUAGUGGCUCACCAAGGCGACGACGGGUAGCCGGCCUGAGAGGGCGACCGGCCACACUGGGACUGAGACACGGCCCAGACUCCUACGGGAGGCAGCAGUGGGGAAUAUUGCACAAUGGGCGAAAGCCUGAUGCAGUGACGCGGCGUGAGGGAUGACGGCCUUCGGGUUGUAAACCUCUUCAGCAGGGAAGAAGCGAAAGGACGUAC
RNAcentral lists this ribosomal RNA (453 nucleotides) under Streptomyces albidoflavus. RNAcentral's name for it is "bacterial SSU rRNA". It matches the Rfam family "Bacterial small subunit ribosomal RNA", at positions 1 to 463 of the family's 1533-position model. The record is from RNAcentral. Lineage: Bacteria; Bacillati; Actinomycetota; Actinomycetes; Kitasatosporales; Streptomycetaceae.